This 271-nucleotide ribosomal RNA is filed under the name Rhizophagus fasciculatus. The record is from RNAcentral. Lineage: Eukaryota; Fungi; Glomeromycota; Glomeromycetes; Glomerales; Glomeraceae.
CAGUUGUACCUGCGGACAAUCAGCUUUUUGAGUGUGAUUAUGUGGAUUGUGAGGAGUUUAACCGCCUUCAUGUAUUGCAUAUUUGUGCUCUUGGGUGUACUUGUCUGUGUGGUAGGUUAACAUCAAUUUCGGUCGUCAUAAAAUGAUUGGAGGAAUGUAGCUUUGGUCUCGUAUCGAAGUGUUAUAGACUCUGGUAGAUGUGACGAUUGGGGAUUGGAGGUAUUGCUAGCGGAUACCCUUCGGGGCUACUCGUCUGAUCUCUGAAGGUUGC